This 167-nucleotide non-coding RNA is filed under the name Burkholderiales bacterium. Its description in RNAcentral is "TPP". It matches the Rfam family "TPP riboswitch aptamer (THI element)". From Rfam's summary of the family: Vitamin B(1) in its active form thiamin pyrophosphate (TPP) is an essential coenzyme that is synthesised by coupling of pyrimidine and thiazole moieties in bacteria. The previously detected thiamin-regulatory element, thi box was extended, resulting in a new, highly conserved RNA secondary structure, the THI element, which is widely distributed in eubacteria and also occurs in some archaea. Analysis of operon structures identified a large number of new candidate thiamin-regulated genes, mostly transporters, in various prokaryotic organisms. The record is from RNAcentral. Lineage: Bacteria; Pseudomonadati; Pseudomonadota; Betaproteobacteria; Burkholderiales.
UCGUAACGCUAGGGGUCCCGCACAAAUCCGCGACGUUGUCGCGGUCUGGCGAGCAAGCUCCGAAACCUCCCGCAGGAGUUUUCGGAGCUUCCUUUCCGGACGGGUGAGAGAAACCCUUGGAACCUGAUCAAGUUAACUCUUGCGCAGGGAAGCGUAUGCCGGCUUCC